This 73-nucleotide transfer RNA is filed under the name Streptococcus varani. It matches the Rfam family "tRNA". From Rfam's summary of the family: Transfer RNA (tRNA) molecules are approximately 80 nucleotides in length. Their secondary structure includes four short double-helical elements and three loops (D, anti-codon, and T loops). Further hydrogen bonds mediate the characteristic L-shaped molecular structure. tRNAs have two regions of fundamental functional importance: the anti-codon, which is responsible for specific mRNA codon recognition, and the 3' end, to which the tRNAs corresponding amino acid is attached (by aminoacyl-tRNA synthetases). tRNAs cope with the degeneracy of the genetic code in two manners: having more than one tRNA (with a specific anti-codon) for a particular amino acid; and 'wobble' base-pairing, i.e. permitting non-standard base-pairing at the 3rd anti-codon position. Lineage: Bacteria; Bacillati; Bacillota; Bacilli; Lactobacillales; Streptococcaceae. The record is from Rfam by way of RNAcentral.
GGUCCUGUAGUGUAGCGGUUAUCACGUCGCCCUGUCACGGCGAAGAUCGCGGGUUCGAUUCCCGUCAGGACCG